ACUCCUACGGGAGGCAGCAGUGGGGAAUAUUGGACAAUGGGCGCAAGCCUGAUCCAGCAAUGCCGCGUGUGUGAAGAAGGCCUUCGGGUUGUAAAGCACUUUAAGUUGGGAAGAAAAAACUCGCUCUAACACAGUGAGUCUUGACGGUACCGACAGAAUAAGCACCGGCUAACUCUGUGCCAGCAGCCGCGGUAAU
This 196-nucleotide ribosomal RNA is filed under the name uncultured bacterium. RNAcentral describes it as "partial 16S ribosomal RNA". It matches the Rfam family "Bacterial small subunit ribosomal RNA", at positions 335 to 524 of the family's 1533-position model. The record is from RNAcentral.